GAUGAACGCUAGCUACAGGCUUAACACAUGCAAGUCGAGGGGAAACGAUAGAGAAAGCUUGCUUUUUCUAGGCGUCGACCGGCGCACGGGUGAGUAAUGCGUAUCCAACCUGCCCAUCACUUGGGGAUAACCUUGCGAAAGUAAGACUAAUACCCAAUGAUAUCUCUAGAAGACAUCUGAAGGAGAUUAAAGAUUUAUCGGUGAUGGAUGGGGAUGCGUCUGAUUAGCUUGUUGGCGGGGUAACGGCCCACCAAGGCGACGAUCAGUAGGGGUUCUGAGAGGAAGGUCCCCCACAUUGGAACUGAGACACGGUCCAAACUCCUACGGGAGGCAGCAGUGAGGAAUACUGGUCAAUGGGCGAGAGCCUGAACCAGCCAAGUAGCGUGCAGGAUGACGGCCCUAUGGGUUGUAAACUGCUUUUAUAAGGGAAUAAAGUGAGUCUCGUGAGACUUUUUGCAUGUACCUUAUGAAUAAGGACCGGCUAAUUCCGUGCCAGCCGCCGCCGUAA
RNAcentral lists this ribosomal RNA (508 nucleotides) under uncultured bacterium. RNAcentral describes it as "partial 16S ribosomal RNA". It matches the Rfam family "Bacterial small subunit ribosomal RNA", at positions 28 to 523 of the family's 1533-position model. The record is from RNAcentral.